GCCCAGCUGGCUCAGUUGGAAGAGCAUGAGACUCUUAAUCUCAGGGUUGUGGAGUUCAAGCCCCACGUUGGGUG
This is a non-coding RNA of Callorhinus ursinus (northern fur seal), 74 nucleotides long. Lineage: Eukaryota; Metazoa; Chordata; Mammalia; Carnivora; Otariidae. The record is from the annotation of a RefSeq genome assembly.